GAUGAAGAACGCAGCAAAAUGCGAUAAGUAAUGUGAAUUGCAGAAUUCAGUGAAUCAUCGAAUCUUUGAACGCACAUUGCGCCCGCUGGUAUUCCGGCGGGCAUGCCUGUUCGAGCGUCAUUUCAACCCUCAAGCCCCCGGGUUUGGUGUUGGGGAUCGGCUCUGCCCUUCUGGGCGGUGCCGCCCCCGAAAUACAUUGGCGGUCUCGCUGCAGCCUCCAUUGCGUAGUAGCUAACACCUCGCAAUUGGAACGCGGCGCGGCCAUGCCGUAAAACCCCUACUUCUGAAUGUUGACCUCGGAUCAGGUAGGAAUACCCGCUGAACUUAAGCAUAUCAAUAAGCGGAGGA
This 348-nucleotide unclassified non-coding RNA is filed under the name soil metagenome. RNAcentral describes it as "partial contains 5.8S ribosomal RNA, internal transcribed spacer 2, and large subunit ribosomal RNA". The stretch from base 1 to 120 matches the Rfam family "5.8S ribosomal RNA", at positions 35 to 154 of the family's 154-position model. The record is from RNAcentral.